RNAcentral lists this ribosomal RNA (204 nucleotides) under uncultured bacterium. RNAcentral describes it as "partial 16S ribosomal RNA". It matches the Rfam family "Bacterial small subunit ribosomal RNA", at positions 328 to 538 of the family's 1533-position model. The record is from RNAcentral.
ACGCUCGACACCUACGGGGGCAGCAGUGGGGAAUAUUGCACAAUGGGGGAAACCCUGAUGCAGCGACGCCGCGUGAGUGAAGAAGUAUUUCGGUAUGUAAAGCUCUAUCAGCAGGGAAGAAGAUGACGGUACCUGAGUAAGAAGCCCCGGCUAACUACGUGUCCAGCACGCCGACGGUAAUCUGAGGCGGGCGUGGACGAAGGC